Molecule: ribosomal RNA, 510 nt
Filed under: uncultured bacterium
Lineage: Bacteria
Description: partial 16S ribosomal RNA
Rfam family: Bacterial small subunit ribosomal RNA
Source: RNAcentral
GACGAACGCUGGCGGCGUGCUUAACACAUGCAAGUCGAACGAAGAGCGAUGGUAGCUUGCUUCUAUCAAUCUCAGUGGCGAACGGGUGAGUAACGCGUAAUCAACCUGCUCUUCAGAGGGGGACCACAGUUGGAAACGAUUGCUCAUACCGCAUACGAUCUAAUCUCGGCAUCGAGGAAAGAUGAAAGGUGGCCUCUAUCUAUAGGCUAUCACUGAAGGUGGGGAUUGCGUCUGAUUCGCUAGUUGGAGGGGUAACGGCCCACCAAGGCGAUGAUCAGCAGCCGGUCUGAGAGGAUGAACGGCCACAUUGGGACUGAGACACGGCCCAGACUCCUACGGGAGGCAGCAGGGGGGAAUCUUCCGCAAUGGACGAAAGUCUGACGGAGCAACGCCGCGGGAGGGAUGACGGCCUUCGGGUUGGAAAGCUCUGUUAAUCGGGACGAAAGGCCUUCUUGCGAACAGUUAGAAGGAUUGACGGUACCGGAAGAGAAAGCCACGGCUAACUACGUG